GGGACCGUGGGGUAGUGGCAUCCUAUGCGGAUGGGGUCCGCAUGAACCGUGUUCGAUUCACGGCGGUCCCG
This 71-nucleotide transfer RNA is filed under the name Salinirubellus salinus. RNAcentral describes it as "tRNA-Pro". Lineage: Archaea; Methanobacteriati; Methanobacteriota; Halobacteria; Halobacteriales; Natronomonadaceae. The record is from RNAcentral.